UAAUGAGAGGACUCGAGGUUCUCUUAUUGCUGUAACCUGCGUUUUGGUUGCUUCAGGACUUGUUGGACUUGCAAUAUAUCUUAAGAGGAGGAGAAACGGACACUUACAUACAGAUUCACCUGAAAGAAAGCAAGAUGUCAUUCAGUAUGCAGAGAUAACUCACAUUAAACCAACAGAUAACCAGGAGGAGCAAAGAGGUAUACCAGAACUGGAUCUGCUUAGAGACAACCCUAACCUGACAUUAGUUUAUUAUACACUCCAGUUACAUCACAUCGCUGCCAGCGAGGAUGUUAACACAGCAUGAAGGAGAGAGAGAACAGCAAGUUACUGAGAGGGUGACAUGAUAAUUCACAUCCAAGAGAAGGCGUUACAUCUUACAGUGGAUGUUGAGACAAAAUUAUAGUAAAUAUUCAUAUUCAUAAAACAAAUGGAACCUCUUUUAAUACAAUCAAUUAGUGUGCUUACUAUACUACUGCUGUGCCAAAGCUUCUUCCAGUAUUGUCUGUUCUGUUGUUUAAAUGUAGGUGCCUCCCCUGUAUAUUUUUUUAUAACUGGUCAUUAUUUAGCUUGCCAGUGGAUAGCAGCUGUGAACAUAAAAAGCAGAUGUUUGGUGAGAUAAAGCCACCUACUCCUCAGCACAAUGGCUAUUAGUGUAAUGGCUUUCGUUGGUGGAAGAGAGGAGGACCAAAAUGCAGCAUGGUACGUAUCCAUAAU
Molecule: long non-coding RNA, 714 nt
Organism: Salvelinus sp. IW2-2015
Lineage: Eukaryota; Metazoa; Chordata; Actinopteri; Salmoniformes; Salmonidae
Source: RefSeq, a predicted model, not a curated record